GGGUUUGACCGAGCCUAACCGUCUCCCUCUCUCUUCUCCCUCGUCUCCCUCUGUCGCUGCCUUCUCCAGCGCAGCUCCGCCGUCUCUGGCCACCCCUGGCGGCGAGACCACCGCCGUUCUCUCCCUCUCCUCCUCUCCUUUCUGGCCCAGCCGUGGAUCGCAUGUCUGACCGAAAUCGAGGGAGAUCGAAAGCAUGGAUACUUCACUGGUUGUGCUGAUUUCCGGCGAGCUCCGGCGGAGGACAGCAGCAUUGAAGGGUAUAUUCUUGUUCUCUUCACUUCCCUCUCCCUUUCUUUGUCAUUUAUUGUGCGAAUCGAACCCUAACCUAGAAACCCCUUUCUUCUUUUUUCUGGGUUUCGAGCUCUUAGCUCCGGCGAUCGGCGUCCGAUGGUUUCCGGGCGAGUGCUCUGGGUUUUUGCUGAAGCCGAUGAGGCUUCAUGGUACCUCUUGUCUCCAUCCCGAUGACUUGCUGAGCUCCAAGAGGCCAAAUCGAUCGUGUGUGGAGGCUUGAGGUGUUGUUGCUGCUUAAUGGGAGGAACCACGAACCUGGAAUCCGACAAGAGAGCCACUGCCGGCAAGAGAAGCUUUGCUGUCAUCUGAAGGUAAUCUUCUUGCAUCUAGAGUUAUUGGGUUGCUGCUGUGUUGAUUAGGGUUUGAGAAAAUUUGGUGUAUGGCUGCUAAUGUGAAUGUUUUGGUUGUUGUUGUCGAUAACUUGGAAUUUGGAGUAUACGGGGAAGUUAUGGCGAAAUUCCGGCAAGUGGCCGGAAUCCGGCAGAAUAUUCCGGCAAGUCGUCGGAAUCCGGCGAAGGCAGUUAGUCCGACAAGAGCAGUUGAGGUAGUUAUCGAAGUUUUCCUUUUAUUUUGCGUUGUUUCAUAAAUAGGAAAGUUUGUCGGUUUAUAAUCGGAAAUCUUUCUAAGUGAGGAAAGUUCCUAUUUUGGGAAACUUUCCCUUUUUGGAAACUCCCUAUUUAUGGAAACCCUUUUUGGGUGCCCUUAGUAAAUUUUAGGGUGAAGUUGUGUAGAGAGGAAAUGAAGGAAAUUCUUGGUUUUGUUUGUGAGCAUGUUUGAUCGUAGGGGAUCAUAAAAUAAUUUUGGAAGUAUUUUGGUUAAUGUGUUAAGGCAUGGAAAUUGAUGGUGACUUUGAUUCUAGGAUAAGGUUCAUUCCGAAUAAGUCAUAGUUGCGAAGUUUAGUCGGAAUUGAUUAUUAAUAUAUGUCGGUAAAUCCUGGUCAACCCAGGAAACUUAGUCAAUUUAAGAAGAAGACGAAUCAAUGAUUAUUUCGGAAUCUGGUUUGACCGAUUUAUUCUGCUGUUUAUCAUCAGACGUGGGAUUGACUCGAGAUUAUGAAUAGUGGAGGCAGCGCUCGAGGAGUAUGCCGAGCAUUGGAAGGCUUAGGCCUAAUACUGUGAGUGGACUUUUAUUUGAAAUAAUAUGCAUACUAUGNNNN
This 1447-nucleotide long non-coding RNA is filed under the name Fragaria vesca (wild strawberry). Its description in RNAcentral is "long non-coding RNA (FVES_LNC005543)". The record is from RNAcentral. Lineage: Eukaryota; Viridiplantae; Streptophyta; Magnoliopsida; Rosales; Rosaceae.